GAUGAACGCUGGCGGCGUGCCUAAUACAUGCAAGUCGAGCGAACAGACGAGGAGCUUGCUCCUCUGACGUUAGCGGCGGACGGGUGAGUAACACGUGGAUAACCUACCUAUAAGACUGGGAUAACUUCGGGAAACCGGAGCUAAUACCGGAUAAUAUAUUGAACCGCAUGGUUCAAUAGUGAAAGACGGUUUUGCUGUCACUUAUAGAUGGAUCCGCGCCGCAUUAGCUAGUUGGUAAGGUAACGGCUUACCAAGGCAACGAUGCGUAGCCGACCUGAGAGGGGGAUCGGCCACAUGGGAACUGAGACACGGUCCAGACGCCUACGGGAGGCAGCAGUAGGGAAUCUUCCGCAAUGGGCGAAAGCCUGACGGAGCAACGCCGCGUGAGUGAUGAAGGUCUUCGGAUCGUAAAACUCUGUUAUUAGGGAAGAACAAAUGUGUAAGUAACUAUGCACGUCUUGACGGUACCUAAUCAGAAAGCCACGGCUAACUACGUG
RNAcentral lists this ribosomal RNA (497 nucleotides) under uncultured bacterium. RNAcentral describes it as "partial 16S ribosomal RNA". It matches the Rfam family "Bacterial small subunit ribosomal RNA", at positions 28 to 507 of the family's 1533-position model. The record is from RNAcentral.